Non-coding RNA from Peromyscus maniculatus bairdii (prairie deer mouse), 186 nucleotides. NCBI's taxonomy places the organism in Eukaryota, Metazoa, Chordata, Mammalia, Rodentia, Cricetidae. The record is from RefSeq and is a predicted model, not a curated record.
GGGACUGACUAUGGGGCUGGAGAGAUGGCUCAGAGGUUAAGAGCACUGGCUGCUCUUCCAGAGGUCCUGAGUUCAAUUCCCAGCAACCACAUGGUGGCUCACAGCCGUCUAUAAUGAGAUCUGGUGCCUUCUACUGGUGGGCAGGCAUACAUGGAGGUAGAAUGUUGUAUACAUAAUAAAUAAAUA